CCUACGGGUGACAGCAGUGAGGAAUAUUGGUCAAUGGGCGGGAGCCUGAACCAGCCAAGUAGCGUGCAGGAUGACUGCCCUACGGGUUGUAAACUUCUUUUAUAAGGGAAUAACGCGCGGCACGUGUGCCUUUUUGCAUGUACCUUAUGAAUAAGGAUCGGCUAACUCCGUGCCAGCAGCCGCGGUAAUACGGAGGAUCCGAGCGUUAUCCGGAUUUAUUGGGUUUAAAGGGAGCGUAGGUGGGAUGUUAAGUCAGCUGUGAAAGUUUGGGGCUCAACCCUGGACUUGCAAUUGAAACUGGCGGGCUUGAGUACGAGGGAAGUAGGCGGAAUGCGUGGUGUAGCGGUGAAAUGCUUAGAUAUCACGAAGAACCCCGAUUGCGAAGGCAGCUUACUGAAGCGACACUGACGCUGAUGCUCGAAAGCGUGGGUAUCGAACAGGAUUAGAUACCCCGGUAGUC
Molecule: ribosomal RNA, 460 nt
Filed under: uncultured bacterium
Lineage: Bacteria
Description: partial 16S ribosomal RNA
Rfam family: Bacterial small subunit ribosomal RNA
Source: RNAcentral